Molecule: ribosomal RNA, 495 nt
Filed under: uncultured bacterium
Lineage: Bacteria
Description: partial 16S ribosomal RNA
Rfam family: Bacterial small subunit ribosomal RNA
Source: RNAcentral
GACGAACGCUGGCGGCGUGCCUAAUACAUGCAAGUAGAACGCUGAAGGCGGAGCUUGCUUCUCUGGAUGAGUUGCGAACGGGUGAGUAACGCGUAGGUAACCUGCCUGGUAGCGGGGGAUAACUAUUGGAAACGAUAGCUAAUACCGCAUAAUAGUAGAUGUUGCAUGACAUUUGCUUAAAAGGUGCAAUUGCAUCACUACCAGAUGGACCUGCGUUGUAUUAGCUAGUUGGUGGGGUAACGGCUCACCAAGGCGACGAUACAUAGCCGACCAGCGAGGGGAAUCGGCAACGCUGGGACGAGAGGACGGCCCGGAACCCUACGGGAGGGAGAAGGAGGGGAUCUCUGGGAAAGGAAGGAAGGCGGAACGAGGAACGCCGGGUGAGGGAAGAAGGUUGUCGGGUCGUGAAGCUCAGUUGUAAGAGAGGAACGAGUGGGAGAGUGAAAAGUGCACAUUGUGACGGUAGCUUAAGAAAAAGGGACGGCUAACUACGUG